UUGGCAAGUUUACUUAUAAUAAUACAAUGUCAUAUUAUGUGAAGCCUUAUUUGAAAAUGCAUCGAGUACUUAAUAAUAGAAGGUAGAAAGAAAAUUGCAACAAGAAGAUUUUAACUCUAAUAAAAAUUUAAAUAAAUUCAAUUAAAUCUUUAAAAUAUUAACCAGACUUUAAUCAAAUCCAAAGAAACCUUAAAGAAAUUACAAAAGAAGCAUGAAGAAAUCCUAAAGAAAUUUAAAAGAAGUAUUAGAAUAAAAUCUUAAAUAUAUUUUAAAUAAAUUUCAAUCAAAUCUUAAUUUAAUCCUAGUUAAUAUCCUAGUAGUCCUUAACAAAAAUCUAAGUCAAACAUAACAAAUCCUAAACAAUCUUAUAUCUUAAAAAAUUCUAGGUUCUGACUAAUUCCUAAAUCCUAAAUCAAAUCCUAAAUCCUAAAUCUUAAUCAAAUCCUA
Molecule: long non-coding RNA, 447 nt
Filed under: Physcomitrium patens
Lineage: Eukaryota; Viridiplantae; Streptophyta; Bryopsida; Funariales; Funariaceae
Description: long non-coding RNA (PPAT_LNC001592)
Source: RNAcentral